AGAUUGAACGCUAGCGGGAUGCUUUACACAUGCAAGUCGAACGGCAGCGCGGACUUCGGUCUGGCGGCGAGUGGCGAACGGGUGAGUAAUAUAUCGGAACGUGCCCAGUAGCGGGGGAUAACUACGCGAAAGCGUGGCUAAUACCGCAUACGCCCUACGGGGGAAAGGGGGGGAUCGCAAGACCUCUCACUAUUGGAGCGGCCGAUAUCAGAUUAGCUAGUUGGUGAGGUAAAGGCUCACCAAGGCGACGAUCUGUAGCUGGUUUGAGAGGACGACCAGCCACACUGGGACUGAGACACGGCCCAGACUCCUACGGGAGCAGCAGUGGGAAUUUGGACAAGUGGGGGAAACCCUGAUCCAGCCAUCCGCGUGUGCGA
Molecule: ribosomal RNA, 377 nt
Filed under: uncultured soil bacterium
Lineage: Bacteria
Description: bacterial SSU rRNA
Rfam family: Bacterial small subunit ribosomal RNA
Source: RNAcentral